Long non-coding RNA from Homo sapiens (human), 2709 nucleotides. Lineage: Eukaryota; Metazoa; Chordata; Mammalia; Primates; Hominidae. The record is from Ensembl.
CAAGAAGGAUGGGUACAAACAAGUCCAGACAAUGAAGACUACAAUAAAUACCUAACUCUUCAAUGUCCAGACACUGAUGAACAUCCACAAGCAUCAAGACCAUCCAGGAAAACAUGACCUCGCCUAAUGAACUAAAUGAAGCACCAGGGACCAAUCCUGCAGAGACAGAGAUAUGUAACAUUUUAGACAGAGAAUUCAAAAUAGCUGUUUUGAGGAAACUCAAUGAAAUUCAAGAUAACACAGAGAAGGAAUUGAAGGUUCUCUCAGAUAAAAUUAUCAAAGAGAUUGAAAUAAUUAAAAUGAAUCAAGCAGAAAUUCUGGAGUUGAAAAAUGCAACUGACAUACGGAAGAAUGCAUCGGGGUCUCUUAACAAGAGACUUAAUCUUUCAGAAGAAAGAAUUAGUGAGCUCGGAGAUAGCCUAUUUGACAAUAUACAGUCAGAGGAAGCAAACUAAAAGAAAAAGAGAGACAACCCAAAUAAUUAAAAUCAGAGAUUUUGAAGGAAUACUUCCUAACUCAUUCUACCAGGCCAGUAUUACUGUGAUACCAAAACCAGAUUAAGACACAUCAGAGAAAACUACAGGCCAAUAUAUCUGAUGAACAUUAAUGCAAAAAUCCUUAGCAAAAUACUAGCAAACCAAAACCAACAACACAUUAAAAAGGUCACUCAUCAUGGCCAAGUAGAAUUUAUUCCAGGGAUGCAAAGAUGCUUCAACAUACACAAAUCAAUCAAUGUGACACAUCAUAUCAACAGAAUGAAGGACAAAAAUCAUAUAGUCACUUCAAUUGAUGCUGAAAAAGCAUUUGAUAAUAUUCAGCAUCCUUUCAUGAUAAAAAUCCUAAAAAAUCUGGGUAGAGAAGAAACAUAUCUCAACACAAUAAAAGUCAUAUAAAACAGACCCACAACUAGUAUCAUACUGAAUGGGGAAAAACUGAAAGACUUUCUUCUAAGAUCUGUAGGAAGACAAGAACGCUCACUUUCACCUCUGUUAUUCAACAUUGCACUGGACGUCCUAGCUGGAGCAAUUAGACAAGAGAAAGAAAUAAAGAACAUUCAAAUUGGAAAGGAAGAAGACAAAUUAUCCUUGUUUGUAGAUAAUAUAAUCUUAUAUUUGGAAAAACCCAAAGACUCCACAAGAAAACUCAGCACUGAUAAAUUCAGUAAAGUUGCAGGAUACAAAAUCUACAUCUAAAAAUGAGUAGCAGUUCUAUAUGUCAACACCAAGCAAGCUGAAAAAGAAAUUAAGAAAGUAAUCCCAUUCACAAUACCUACAAAUACUGUAAAAUGCCUAGGAAUUAACCAAAGAAGUGAAAGAUCUCUACAAUGAAAAAUGUAAAAUAUUGAUUGAAGAAAUCAAAGAGGACACAAAAAAAUGGAAAGAUAUUCCAUGUUUAUGGAUUUGGAGAAUCAAUAUUGUUAAAAUAUCCACACUACCCAAAGCAAUCUACAGAUUCAUCACAAUCCUGAUCAAACUACCAGUAACAUUCUUCACCGAAAUAGAAAAAAUAAUCUUAAAAUUUAUAUAGAAUCACAAAAGACCCAGAAUAGCCAAAGCUAGCUUGAGCAAAAAGAACAAAACUGUAGGAAUCGUAUUACCUGACUUCAAAUUAUACUACAGAGCUGUAGUAACCAAAACAGCAUGGUAUUGGCAUAAAGAUAGACACAUAGACCAAUGGAACAGAAUAGAUAACCCAGAAACAAAUACAUACAUCUACAAUCGACUCAUUUUCAACAAAGUUGCCAAGAACGUACACUGGGGGAAAGGACGGUGUCUUCAAUAAAUGGUGCUGGGAAAGCCAGAUAUCCAUAUACAUAAGAAUGAAACUAGACUUCUAUCUCUCACCAUAUACAAAAAUCAAAUCAAAAUGUACUAAAGACUUAAAUAUAAGACCUGAAAUUAUGACACCAUGGAAAGAAAACAUUAGAGAAACUCUCUAGCACUGGACUGGGCAAAGAUUGCUUGUGUAAUAUCCACAAUCAUAGACAACCAAAGCAACAAAUGGACAAAUGAGAUCUCUUCAAGUUAAAAAGCUUCUGCACAGCAAACAAUCAACAAAAUGAAGAGGCAACCCACAGAACUGAAGAAAAUAUUUGCAAACUACUCAUCUAACAAUGGAUUGAUAACCAGAAUAUAUAAGGAGCUCGAACAACACUGUAGGAAAAAAUAUAAUAAUCAAAUUAAAAAUAGACAAAAUAUAUGAAUAGACGUUUCUCAAAACAAGGCAUUCAAAUGGCAAAGAGGUAUAUGUAAAGUUGCUCAACAUCGCUAAUUAUCAGAGAAAUGCAAAUCAAAACUACAAUGAGAUAUCAUCUUACCCCAGUUAAAAUGGCCUUUUUCCAAAAGACCGGCAAUAACACUUGCUGGUGAAGAUGUGGAGAAAAGGGAACCCUUAUAAACUGAUGGUGGGAAUGUAAAUUAGUGCAGCCACUAGGGAGAACAGUUUGGAGAUUCCUCAGAAAACUAAAAAUAGAGCUACCAUAUGAUCCAGCAAUCCCACUGCUAGGUAUAUACCCAAAGGAAAGGAAAUCAGUGUAUCAAAGGGAUAUCUGCAUUCUCAUUUUGUUGCAGCACUAUUCACAAUAGCCAAGAUUUGGAGGCAUCCUAAGUGUCUAUCAACAGAUGAAUGACUAAAGAAAAAGUGGUACAUACACACAAUGGAGUACUAUUCAGCCAUAAAAAAGAAUAAGAUCCUGUCAUUAGCAACAAC